GACGAACGCUGGCGGCGUGCUUAACACAUGCAAGUCGAACGGAAAGGCCCUGCUUUUGUGGGGUGCUCGAGUGGCGAACGGGUGAUUAACCCGUGAGUAACCUGCCCUUGACUUUGGGAUAACUUCAGGAAACUUGGGCUCAUACCGGAUAGGAGCUCCUGCUGCAUGGUGGGUGUUGGAAAGUUUCGGCGGUUGGGGAUGGACUCGCGUCUUAUCAGCUUGUUGGUGGGGUAGUGGCUUACCACGGCUUUGACGGGUAGCCGGCCUGAGAGGGUGACCGGCCACAUUGGGACUGAGAUACGGCCCAGACUCCUACGGGAGGCAGCAGUGGGGAAUAUUGCACAAUGGGCGGAAGCCUGAUGCAGCAACGCCGCGUGCGGGAUGACGGCCUUCGGGUUGUAAACCGCUUUCGCCUGUGACGAAGCGUGAGUGACGGUAAUGGGUAAAGAAGCACCGGCUAACUACGUG
This 468-nucleotide ribosomal RNA is filed under the name uncultured bacterium. RNAcentral's name for it is "partial 16S ribosomal RNA". It matches the Rfam family "Bacterial small subunit ribosomal RNA", at positions 28 to 507 of the family's 1533-position model. The record is from RNAcentral.